This 64-nucleotide transfer RNA is filed under the name Macrohectopus branickii. RNAcentral's name for it is "tRNA-Trp". Lineage: Eukaryota; Metazoa; Arthropoda; Malacostraca; Amphipoda; Macrohectopidae. The record is from RNAcentral.
AAAGCUUUAAGUUAAAAAAAACUUAAGACCUUCAAAGUCUUCAAAGAGGCCCCCUCAAGCUUAG